Molecule: ribosomal RNA, 481 nt
Filed under: uncultured bacterium
Lineage: Bacteria
Description: partial 16S ribosomal RNA
Rfam family: Bacterial small subunit ribosomal RNA
Source: RNAcentral
GAUGAACGCUGGCGGCGUGCUUAACACAUGCAAGUCGAACGAAGCACUUUAUUUGAUUUCCUUCGGGACUGAUUAUUUUGUGACUGAGUGGCGGACGGGUGAGUAACGCGUGGGUAACCUGCCUUGUACAGGGGGAUAACAGUUGGAAACGGCUGCUAAUACCGCAUAAGCGCACGGCAUCGCAUGAUGCAGUGUGAAAAACUCCGGUGGUAUAAGAUGGACCCGCGUUGGAUUAGCUAGUUGGUGAGGUAACGGCCCACCAAGGCGACGAUCCAUAGCCGACCUGAGAGGGUGACCGGCCACAUUGGGACUGAGACACGGCCCAAACUCCUACGGGAGGCAGCAGUGGGGAAUAUUGCACAAUGGGCGAAAUCCUGAUGCAGCGACGCCGCGUGAGCGAAGAAGUAUUUCGGUAUGUAAAGCUCUAUCAGCAGGGAAGAUAAUGACGGUACCUGACUAAGAAGCACCGGCUAAAUACGUG